CGCGAAAUCUCGCUCGCAAAGACGAAGAUCGAAGAGGCGGUUAUGUGGGCGGUCAAGCACAUCACAGCUUAACUCAGUCGCUAAACUGGCUGAUUAGCCGCGAUGAUUGCUUUGUGAGCAUCUUGUCUGAACAAGCGCAAAUCCCGAAUAGCCGGGAGGCCGCGUAGUGAGUGGAGCAAUGUCCAUGAAGCUUUUGACGGUGACUUACCGCGAGAAU
This 217-nucleotide unclassified non-coding RNA is filed under the name Hevea brasiliensis (rubber tree). Lineage: Eukaryota; Viridiplantae; Streptophyta; Magnoliopsida; Malpighiales; Euphorbiaceae. The record is from RNAcentral.